RNAcentral lists this ribosomal RNA (413 nucleotides) under Streptomyces sp. 19G-3. RNAcentral describes it as "bacterial SSU rRNA". It matches the Rfam family "Bacterial small subunit ribosomal RNA", at positions 285 to 710 of the family's 1533-position model. Lineage: Bacteria; Bacillati; Actinomycetota; Actinomycetes; Kitasatosporales; Streptomycetaceae. The record is from RNAcentral.
AGCCGGCCUGAGAGGGCGACCGGCCACACUGGGACUGAGACACGGCCCAGACUCCUACGGGAGGCAGCAGUGGGGAAUAUUGCACAAUGGGCGAAAGCCUGAUGCAGCGACGCCGCGUGAGGGAUGACGGCCUUCGGGUUGUAAACCUCUUUCAGCAGGGAAGAAGCGCAAGUGACGGUACCUGCAGAAGAAGCACCGGCUAACUACGUGCCAGCAGCCGCGGUAAUACGUAGGGUGCGAGCGUUGUCCGGAAUUAUUGGGCGUAAAGAGCUCGUAGGCGGCUUGUCACGUCGGAUGUGAAAGCUCGGGGCUUAACCCCGAGUCUGCAUUCGAUACGGGCUAGCUAGAGUGUGGUAGGGGAGAUCGGAAUUCCUGGUGUAGCGGUGAAAUGCGCAAAUAUCAGGAGGAACACC